Molecule: ribosomal RNA, 468 nt
Filed under: uncultured bacterium
Lineage: Bacteria
Description: partial 16S ribosomal RNA
Rfam family: Bacterial small subunit ribosomal RNA
Source: RNAcentral
GACGAACGCUGGCGGCGUGCUUAACACAUGCAAGUCGAACGGAAAGGCCCUGCUUUUGUGGGGUGCUCGAGUGGCGAACGGGUGAGUAACACGUGAGUAACCUGCCCUUUACUUUGGUAUAACUUCAGGAAACUUGUGCUAAUACCGUAUAGGAGCUCCUGCUGCAUGGUGGGGGUUGGUAAGUUUCGGCUGUUGGGGAUGGACUCGCGGCUUAUCAGCUUGUUUGUGUGGUAGUGGCUUACCAAGGCUUUGACGGGUAGCCGGCCUGAGAGGGUGACAGGCGACAUUGGGACUGAGAUACGGCCCAGACUCCAACGGGAGGAAGCAGUGGGGAAUAUUGCACAAUGGGCGGAAGCCUGAUGAAGAAACGCAGCGUGCGGGAUGAAGGCCUUCGGGUUGUAAAAAGCUUUAGAAUGUGAAGAAGAGGGAGUGACGGUAAUGGGUAAAGAAGCACCGGCUAACUACGUG